Molecule: RNA transcript, 1215 nt
Organism: Carlito syrichta (Philippine tarsier)
Lineage: Eukaryota; Metazoa; Chordata; Mammalia; Primates; Tarsiidae
Gene name: mesoderm-specific transcript homolog protein pseudogene
Exons: 1
Source: RefSeq, a predicted model, not a curated record
AUGGAGUCUUAUAGCCCAGGUCUUACCCAAGUCAGGAAGCAGGAGUGUUGGGUGCUAGCCAUGCGCCUGCUGUCUGUGUACCUGCACAUCCUGGUACCCCACCUAUCCUCUGCCCUGCACUUAUGGAAAUCUUCGGGCAAAUUUUUUACCUACAAGGAACUGCACAUCUUCUACCAAGAUGCUGUGGGAGUGGUUGGAAUUCCAGAGAUAAUUGUGUUUUCCAGCAUCCAGCUAUGAUUGGUGUAUGAUACGGGAAGAUCUGACCCUGAGGUUCCAGCGAAUGAUUGCCCUUGAUUUUCCAGGCUUUGGCUUUAGUGACAAACCAAGGCCACAUCACUACUCCAUUUUUGAGCAGGCACUUUUGUGGCACCUGAGGCUCCAGAACCAUAGGGUCAAUUACCAUAAAGAGUCUCUGUCUGUCAAAUGAAGGUAUCUUUCCUGAAACUUACCAUCCUCUCCUUCUCCAAAAGCUACUCAAGGACAAAGGUGUGCUGUCCCCCUUCCUCACAUGGCUGAUGAACUUUUUUGUAUUCUUUUGAAGUCUCAUUCCAGUAUUUGGGCUAUACACUUGGCCCUCGGAGAUUGAGCUUUGGCACAUGUGGGCAGAGAUUCGCAACAAUGAUGGGAACCUUGUUAUUGACAGUCUCUUACAGUGCAUCAGUCAGAGGAAGAAGUUUAGAAGCUCCUGGGUGGGAGCUUUGGCCUCUGUAAUUGUUUCCAUUCAUUUUAUUUAUGAGCCAUUGGAUCCUGUAAAUCCCUAUUCAGAGUUUUUGGAGCUGUACAGGAGUAUGCUGCUGCAGUGCACAGUGUUAAUUCUGGAAGACCGCAUUAGCCACUAUCCACAGCUAAAGGACCCCAUGGGUUUGUUGAAUGCAUAUAUGGGCUUCAUCAACUCCUAAACUGGAAAGAGUAGCUUCCCUGUAUUACCUUUCCUACUCCCUUUUCUGUGUAUUCCACUUUGGAAGAAGUGUCCAAAAGACGUCCUGGCCAUCAAACACUAUUCUCUCACAAAGUCUACUUUACUAGCUGGUGAACAGUGUAUAGGAAAAGGCCAGCAGGAGCUCCGAGUAAGGUUGACCUAAGAGUCCACCUUUCAUUCCUUUGACAUCUGAUCAAGUCUAUGAACAACCUUUAUUUCUGUGUUAUUAGGAAAUUCUGAUGAGCACUACUAUUCACUGAUAUAGAAAGACAGAUUAUUUUGCAUAAAAGACUUUU